CCUACGGGAGGCAGCAGUGAGGAAUAUUGGUCAAUGGCCGGAAGGCUGAACCAGCCAAGUCGCGUGAGGGACGACUGUCCUAUGGGUUGUAAACCUCUUUUAUAAGGGAAGAAAAACUGCUACGCGUAGCAUGAUGCCUGUACCUUAUGAAUAAGCAUCGGCUAACUCCGUGCCAGCAGCCGCGGUAAUACGGAGGAUGCGAGCGUUAUCCGGAUUUAUUGGGUUUAAAGGGUGCGUAGGCGGUUUUUUAAGUUAGUGGUUAAACGUCGGGGCUUAACCUUGACUUGCCAUUAAUACUGUAAGACUCGAGUUCAGACGAGGUAGGCGGAAUGAGUGAAGUAGCGGUGAAAUGCUUAGAUAU
RNAcentral lists this ribosomal RNA (361 nucleotides) under uncultured bacterium. Its description in RNAcentral is "partial 16S ribosomal RNA". It matches the Rfam family "Bacterial small subunit ribosomal RNA", at positions 338 to 697 of the family's 1533-position model. The record is from RNAcentral.